RNAcentral lists this ribosomal RNA (414 nucleotides) under uncultured bacterium. RNAcentral's name for it is "bacterial SSU rRNA". It matches the Rfam family "Bacterial small subunit ribosomal RNA", at positions 28 to 437 of the family's 1533-position model. The record is from RNAcentral.
GACGAACGCUGGCGGCGCGCCUAACACAUGCAAGUCGAACGAGCGAGAGAGAGCUUGCUUUCUCGAGCGAGUGGCGAACGGGUGAGUAACGCGUGAGGAACCUGCCUCAAAGAGGGGGACAACAGUUGGAAACGACUGCUAAUACCGCAUAAGCCCACGGGUCGGCAUCGACCAGAGGGAAAAGGAGCAAUCCGCUUUGAGAUGGCCUCGCGUCCGAUUAGCUAGUUGGUGAGGUAACGGCCCACCAAGGCGACGAUCGGUAGCCGGACUGAGAGGUUGAACGGCCACAUUGGGACUGAGACACGGCCCAGACUCCUACGGGAGGCAGCAGUGGGGAAUAUUGCACAAUGGGGGAAACCCUGAUGCAGCGACGCCGCGUGGAGGAAGAAGGUCUUCGGAUUGUAAACUCCUGUU